Molecule: ribosomal RNA, 371 nt
Filed under: uncultured bacterium
Lineage: Bacteria
Description: bacterial SSU rRNA
Rfam family: Bacterial small subunit ribosomal RNA
Source: RNAcentral
ACGAAGGGGGCUAGCGUUGUUCGGAUUUACUGGGCGUAAAGCGCGUGUAGGCGGAUUGAUAAGUUGGGGGUGAAAGCCCAGGGCUCAACCCUGGAACUGCCUUCAAGACUGUCAGUCUGGACUCAAGGAGAGGCGAGUGGAAUUGCGAGUGUAGAGGUGAAAUUCGUAGAUAUUCGCAGGAACACCAGUGGCGAAGGCGACUCGCUGGACUUGUAGUGACGCUGAGACGCGAAAGCGUGGGGAGCAAACAGGAUUAGAUACCCUGGUAGUCCACGCUGUAAACGAUGAGAGCUAGUUGUCAGUAGGCAUGCCUAUUGGUGACGCAGCUAACGCAUUAAGCUCUCCGCCUGGGGAGUACGGCCGCAAGGUUA